AUUGAACGCUGGCGGCAGGCCUAACACAUGCAAGUCGAGCGGAUGAAGGGAGCUUGCUCCUGGAUUCAGCGGCGGACGGGUGAGUAAUGCCUAGGAAUCUGCCUGGUAGUGGGGGAUAACGUCCGGAAACGGGCGCUAAUACCGCAUACGUCCUGAGGGAGAAAGUGGGGGAUCUUCGGACCUCACGCUAUCAGAUGAGCCUAGGUCGGAUUAGCUAGUUGGUGGGGUAAAGGCCUACCAAGGCGACGAUCCGUAACUGGUCUGAGAGGAUGAUCAGUCACACUGGAACUGAGACACGGUCCAGACUCCUACGGGAGGCAGCAGUGGGGAAUAUUGGACAAUGGGCGAAAGCCUGAUCCAGCCAUGCCGCGUGUGUGAAGAAGGUCUUCGGAUUGUAAAGCACUUUAAGUUGGGAGGAAGGGCAGUAAGUUAAUGCCUUGCUGUUUUGGCGUUACCAACAGAAUAAGCACCGGCUAACUUCGUG
RNAcentral lists this ribosomal RNA (484 nucleotides) under uncultured bacterium. RNAcentral's name for it is "partial 16S ribosomal RNA". It matches the Rfam family "Bacterial small subunit ribosomal RNA", at positions 30 to 507 of the family's 1533-position model. The record is from RNAcentral.